This 809-nucleotide ribosomal RNA is filed under the name Hepatozoon felis. RNAcentral's name for it is "bacterial SSU rRNA". It matches the Rfam family "Eukaryotic small subunit ribosomal RNA", at positions 188 to 984 of the family's 1831-position model. Lineage: Eukaryota; Apicomplexa; Hepatozoidae. The record is from RNAcentral.
UAUUUUGGAAGAGAUGCAUUUAUUAGAUAAAAAACCAAUAUAUACUUUUUCAAGUAUGAAAUUUGGUGAUUUACAAUAACUUAGCAAAUCGCAUAGUGAAAACAGGCGAUAAAUCAUUCAAGUUUCUGACCUAUCAGCUUUCGACGGUAUGGUAUUGGCUUACCGUGGCAGUGACGGUUAACGGGGGAUUAGGGUUCGAUUCCGGAGAGGGAGCCUGAGAAACGGCUACCACAUCUAAGGAAGGCAGCAGGCGCGCAAAUUACCCAAUUCUAACAGCAUAAGAGAGGUAGUGACAAGAAAUAACAAUACAAGGCAGUUAAAAUGCUUUGUAAUUGGAAUGAUAGAAAUUUAAACACUUUUUAAAGUAUCAAUUGGAGGGCAAGUCUGGUGCCAGCAGCCGCGGUAAUUCCAGCUCCAAUAGCGUAUAUUAAAAUUGUUGCAGUUAAAAAGCUCGUAGUUGAAUUUCUGUUAAAAAUAACCGGUCUGCUUUUAAUAAAAGUGGUAUCUUGGUGUGUUUUUAGCAAUAAUGUCCUUUGAAAUGUUUUUUACUUUAUUGUAAUAAAUAAUAUUCAGGAUUUUUACUUUGAGAAAAUUAGAGUGUUUCUAGCAGGCUAACGCUUUGAAUACUGCAGCAUGGAAUAAUAAAAUAGGAUUUUAGUUCUACAUUAUUGGUUUUAAGAACUAAAUUAAUGAUUGAUAGGGACAGUUGGGGGCAUUUGUAUUUAACUGUCAGAGGUGAAAUUCUUAGAUUUGUUAAAGACAAACUACUGCGAAAGCAUUUGCCAAAGAUGUUUUCAUUAAUCAAGAAC